RNAcentral lists this ribosomal RNA (388 nucleotides) under Davidius fruhstorferi. RNAcentral describes it as "partial 16S ribosomal RNA". The stretch from base 1 to 193 matches the Rfam family "Archaeal large subunit ribosomal RNA", at positions 1921 to 2143 of the family's 2987-position model. The record is from RNAcentral. Lineage: Eukaryota; Metazoa; Arthropoda; Insecta; Odonata; Gomphidae.
GUCCUCUUGAUUUAUUUAUGAGGUCAGGCCUGCCCGGUGAAUAUUAAGUUUUAACGGCCGCGGUAUUUUGACCGUGCAAAGGUAGCAUAAUCAUUAGUCUUUUAAUUGGAGGCUGGAAUGAAGGGCUUGACGAGGUGUUAACUGUCUCAUUUAAUUUGAUAUUAAAAUUUAACUUUUCAGUUAAAAGGCUGAAAUUAUAUUGGAAGACGAGAAGACCCUAUAGAGCUUUAUAAUUAUAAAGUAUAAUUAGUUGUUGUUAAAUUAUUAUUUUUCAUGCUUUUAAUUAUUUUGUUGGGGUGAUAAAAAUACAAAAAUAACUUUUUUAUUUAAAAAUCAUUGAUAUAUGAAUUAUUAGAUCCAAUUUUAUUGAUUGUUAGAUUAAGUUACC